GGUCGCAUGCCCGAGUGGUCAGGGACCCGCCUGCAAAGCGGGGGACGCCGGUUCGAGUCCGGCUGUGGCCU
Molecule: transfer RNA, 71 nt
Filed under: Dactylosporangium roseum
Lineage: Bacteria; Bacillati; Actinomycetota; Actinomycetes; Micromonosporales; Micromonosporaceae
Also listed under: 1 other name
Description: tRNA-Cys
Rfam family: tRNA
About the family: Transfer RNA (tRNA) molecules are approximately 80 nucleotides in length. Their secondary structure includes four short double-helical elements and three loops (D, anti-codon, and T loops).
Source: RNAcentral